CAAUAGCGUAUAUUUAAGUUGUUGCAGUUAAAAAGCUCGUAGUUGGAUUUCGGGUAGGAUUUGCCGGUCCGUCUUUGAGAUGUGUACUGGUAAGUCCUAUCUUCUUGUCGGGGACCAGCUCCUGGGCUUCACUGUCCGGGACUGGGAGCCGACGAAGUUACUUUGAGUAAAUUAGAGUGUUCAAAGCAAGCUUACGCUCUGAAUAUAAUAGCAUGGGAUAACACGACAGGACUCUGGCCUAUCGUGUUGGUCUAUAGGACCAGAGUAAUGAUUAAGAGGGACAGUCGGGGGCAUUCGUAUUCCGUUGUCAGAGGUGAAAUUCUUGGAUUUACGGAAGACGAACAUCUGCGAAAGCAUUUGCCAAGGAUGUUUUCAUUGA
RNAcentral lists this ribosomal RNA (379 nucleotides) under uncultured eukaryote. RNAcentral describes it as "partial 18S ribosomal RNA". It matches the Rfam family "Eukaryotic small subunit ribosomal RNA", at positions 592 to 976 of the family's 1831-position model. The record is from RNAcentral.